This 169-nucleotide transfer RNA is filed under the name Burkholderia multivorans. RNAcentral's name for it is "tRNA-Met". The record is from RNAcentral. Lineage: Bacteria; Pseudomonadati; Pseudomonadota; Betaproteobacteria; Burkholderiales; Burkholderiaceae.
GGAGAAUUGAUCCAUUCCGGUCAAUACAAAAUCCGCAGGUUUUGGCGCAAAACCCCUGUUCCAUCGGGCUUAUGUAUGCCUACAUGGAUACGCAUCCAUGUCGAUGGCGAUAAUGUUGCUCGGAAUCAUAAUCCGCAGGUCCGGGGUUCGAGUCCCUGAUUCGCCACCA